GACUUAGGCCUUCACAGGCCACGAGGAAACGGAAAG
Molecule: ribosomal RNA, 36 nt
Filed under: Ptychostomum compactum
Lineage: Eukaryota; Viridiplantae; Streptophyta; Bryopsida; Bryales; Bryaceae
Description: 26S ribosomal RNA
Source: RNAcentral